GCGACACACGGGCGAGCAGCCGUGGGAAUACGGGUGGUGCAAGCGGUAGCCGGAUGGACGGGGUGGAAAGGGGGCGCAGGCGGUACGGCGAGGCUGAGGUGAAAGCCCGGGGCGCAACCCCGGUACGGCAUUGGAAACUGGCGGACGAGAGUGUCGGAGGGGUAAGUGGAAUUCCUAGUGUAGCGGUGAAAUGCGUAGAUAUUAGGAGGAACACCAGUGGCGAAGGCGGCUUACUGGACGAUUACUGACGCUGAGGCUCGAAAGCGUGGGGAGCAAACAGGAUUAGAUACCCGAGUAGUC
RNAcentral lists this ribosomal RNA (300 nucleotides) under uncultured Bacillus sp. Its description in RNAcentral is "bacterial SSU rRNA". It matches the Rfam family "Bacterial small subunit ribosomal RNA", at positions 496 to 795 of the family's 1533-position model. The record is from RNAcentral. Lineage: Bacteria; Bacillati; Bacillota; Bacilli; Caryophanales; Bacillaceae.